RNAcentral lists this ribosomal RNA (253 nucleotides) under uncultured bacterium. RNAcentral describes it as "partial 16S ribosomal RNA". It matches the Rfam family "Bacterial small subunit ribosomal RNA", at positions 524 to 776 of the family's 1533-position model. The record is from RNAcentral.
UACGGAGGGGGCUAGCGUUGUUCGGAAUUACUGGGCGUAAAGCGCACGUAGGCGGCUUUGUAAGUUAGAGGUGAAAGCCCGGGGCUCAACUCCGGAAUUGCCUUUAAGACUGCAUCGCUAGAAUUGUGGAGAGGUAAGUGGAAUUCCGAGUGUAGAGGUGAAAUUCAUAGAUAUUCGGAAGAACACCAGUGGCGAAGGCGACUUACUGGACACAUAUUGACGCUGAGGUGCGAAAGCGUGGGGAGCAAACAGG